GACGAACGCUGGCGGCGUGCUUAACACAUGCAAGUCGAACGGAAAGGCCCUGCUUUUGUUGGGUGCUCGAGUGGCGAACGGGUGAGUAACACGUGAGUAACCUGCCCUUGACUUUGUGAUAACUUCAGGAAACUGGGGCUAAUACCGGAUAGGAUCUCCUGCUGCAUGUGGUUGGUUGGAAAAUUUCGGCGGUUGUGGAUCGACUCGAUGCUUAUCAGCUGGUUGGGGUGGUAGUUGCUGUCGAGGGCUUUGACGGGUAGCCUGCAUGAGAGGGUUGCCGGCCACAUUGGGACUACGAUACGGACCAGACUCGUACGGGAGGCAGCAGUGGGGAAUAUUGCACAAUGGCCGGGAGCCUGAUGCAGAAACGCCGCGUGCGGGAUGCCGGCCUUCGGGUUGUAAACCGAUUUCGCAUGUGACGAAGCGUGAGUGACGGUAAUGGGUAAAGAAGCAACGGCUAACUACGUG
Molecule: ribosomal RNA, 468 nt
Filed under: uncultured bacterium
Lineage: Bacteria
Description: partial 16S ribosomal RNA
Rfam family: Bacterial small subunit ribosomal RNA
Source: RNAcentral